UACAUAGGGGGCAAGCGUUAUCCGGAUUUACUGGGUGUAAAGGGUGCGUAGGCGGUUAGGAAAGUCAGAUGUGAAAACCCAUGGCUCAACCAUGGGAAUGCAUUUGAAACUUCUUGACUAGAGUACAGGAGAGGUAAGUGGAAUUUCUAGUGUAGCGGUAAAAUGCGUAGAUAUUAGGAGGAACACCAGUGGCGAAGGCGACUUACUGGACUGAAACUGACGCUGAGGCACGAAAGCAUGGGGAGCGAACAGG
Molecule: ribosomal RNA, 253 nt
Filed under: uncultured bacterium
Lineage: Bacteria
Description: partial 16S ribosomal RNA
Rfam family: Bacterial small subunit ribosomal RNA
Source: RNAcentral